GCCUUCUUCAACAAAUAAACCUUAUCCUCACUCCCUUUUUGUAUGAAGCCUUCAGGUUGCUCAAUAAAAAUCUCUUCCUGCAAGUGACCAUUUAAGAAGGUAGAUUUUACAUCCAGUUGAAAAACAUCCCAACACUUAUGAGCUGCAAGAGCAAUAAGCAAUCUGAUAGUGUCAAAUCUGGCCACUAAUGCAAAUGUUUCUACAAAAU
Molecule: unclassified non-coding RNA, 208 nt
Filed under: Hevea brasiliensis (rubber tree)
Lineage: Eukaryota; Viridiplantae; Streptophyta; Magnoliopsida; Malpighiales; Euphorbiaceae
Source: RNAcentral